This 782-nucleotide ribosomal RNA is filed under the name uncultured Neocallimastigales. RNAcentral's name for it is "partial large subunit ribosomal RNA". It matches the Rfam family "Eukaryotic large subunit ribosomal RNA", at positions 26 to 640 of the family's 3401-position model. The record is from RNAcentral. Lineage: Eukaryota; Fungi; Neocallimastigomycota; Neocallimastigomycetes; Neocallimastigales.
CGUCUAUAUACGUAUAGCAUAUCAAUAAGCGGAGGAAAAGAAACUAACAAGGAUUCCCCUAGUAACGGCGAGUGAAGCGGGAAGAGCUCAAAUUUGAAAUCUUCAAGGGUUUUCCCUUGACGAAUUGUAGUUUAAAGAAGUGUUUUCGGUUAGAGGAGGUGGUAAAAGUUCUUUGGAAUAGGACAUCAUAGAGGGUGAGAAUCCCGUAUUUGAUCACUUUCUUACUAAGCUUUGUGAUACACUUUCAAAGAGUCGGAUUGUUUGGGAAUGCAGUCCAAAAUGGGUGGUAAAUUUCAUCUAAAGCUAAAUAUUGGCGAGAGACCGAUAGCGAACAAGUACCGUGAGGGAAAGAUGAAAAGAACUUUGAAAAGAGAGUUAAACAGUACGUGAAAUUGUCAAAAGGGAAGCGUUUGACACCAGUGUUGUUUUUCCGAAAAUCAAUUAAAAAUGGCCGGAUUUUAAGUUUCAUGACCUUAAAAGCUUGUUUCUUAUUUUUCUUGUCUUUCUUAAUGCACUUUUCGGUUAACAAGUCAACAUCAAUUUCUUUUGUUGUAAAAGGAAUUAAGAGGAAGGUGGCUUGGACUUUCGGUUAAAGUGUUUAUAGCCUUUUACUUCUGCAAUCGGAGAGAUUGAGGUCUGCAGCAGUAGAUCCUUCGGGGCUAGAUACGUUUGUGCUAAGUUAUAGCUUUUCAUAGACAACUUGUUGACUAUGUUUAGUCUUGUAGCUUACUCGCAUGCGCUAUUUUACCUACGCUUAGGAUGUUGAUAUGCAUGACUGAUAU